ACGGGAGGCAGCAGUGGGGAAUAUUGCACAAUGGGGGAAACCCUGAUGCAGCGACGCCGCGUGAGUGAAGAAGUAUUUCGGUAUGUAAAGCUCUAUCAGCAGGGAAGAUAAUGACGGUACCUGACUAAGAAGCCCCGGCUAACUACGUGCCAGCAGCCGCGGUAAUACGUAGGGGGCAAGCGUUAUCCGGAUUUACUGGGUGUAAAGGGUGCGUAGGUGGUAUGGCAAGUCAGAAGUGAAAGCCCGGGGCUCAACCCCGUGGAUUGCUUUUGAAACUGUCAAACUAGAGUACCGGAGAGGUAAGCGGAAUUCCUAGUGUAGCGGUGAAAUGCGUAGAUAUUAGGAGGAACACCAGUGGCGAAGGCGGCUUGCUGGACGACAACUGACGCUGAGGCGCGAAAGCGUGGGGAGCAAACAGGAUUAGAUACCCUGGUA
Molecule: ribosomal RNA, 435 nt
Filed under: uncultured Coprococcus sp.
Lineage: Bacteria; Bacillati; Bacillota; Clostridia; Lachnospirales; Lachnospiraceae
Description: partial 16S ribosomal RNA
Rfam family: Bacterial small subunit ribosomal RNA
Source: RNAcentral